This 253-nucleotide ribosomal RNA is filed under the name uncultured bacterium. RNAcentral's name for it is "partial 16S ribosomal RNA". It matches the Rfam family "Bacterial small subunit ribosomal RNA", at positions 524 to 776 of the family's 1533-position model. The record is from RNAcentral.
GACAAGCCUCACAAACGUUAUUCGGAAUUACUGGGCGUAAAGCGUGCGUAGGUGGUGAGUUAAGUCUGUCGUGAAAGCCCCGGGCUCAACCUGGGAAUGGCGAUGGAUACUGGCUCGCUAGAGUGCGGUAGAGGAGAGUGGAAUUCCCGGUGUAGCAGUGAAAUGCGUAGAGAUCGGGAGGAACAUCAGUUGCGAAGGCGGCUCUCUGGACCAGCACUGACACUGAGGCACGAAAGCGUGGGGAGCAAACAGG